This 505-nucleotide ribosomal RNA is filed under the name uncultured bacterium. RNAcentral's name for it is "bacterial SSU rRNA". It matches the Rfam family "Bacterial small subunit ribosomal RNA", at positions 28 to 526 of the family's 1533-position model. The record is from RNAcentral.
GACGAACGCUGGCGGCGUGGAUUAGGCAUGCAAGUCGAACGGUAUCAUCCUUUCGGGGGUGAGAGAGUGGCGAACUGGUGAGUAACACGUAGGUUAUCUACCCUCAAGACGGGGACAACCCAGGGAAACUUGGGCUAAUACCGGAUGUGAGCAACUUUUAGUUGUUUGAAAGGUGGCGUAAGCUGUCGCUUGGGGAUGAGCCUGCGUCCUAUUAGUUAGUUGGUGAGGUAACGGCUCACCUAGGCAAUGAUAGGUAGGCGGCCUUAACGGGUGGUCGCCCACACUGGGAUUGAGAUACGGCCCAGACUCCUACGGGAGGCAGCAGUCGAGAAUAGUCUACAAUGGUCGGAAGACUGAUAGUGCGACGCCGCGUGAACGAUGAAUCCCUUCGGGGUGUAAAGUUCUUUUAUAUGUGAGCAGUGCUUCUUAUAUUAACAGUAUGGGGAAGAGAUAUUAGCAUAUGAGUAAGCAACGGCUAACUCCGUGCCAGCAGCCGCGGUAAUAC